GUCGAGGGGGCGGGACCCGGGCACCGCCCCACCCCAAGGACGCCCCGGUAGUCCGCACCACAAAGGGGGAAAACGGGAGAGGCUACGCAGGGGAGCUGGGAGUCGGUCUGCAAGGGACGGGGAGCUGCGCGCCUCCCCAUCUCGGUGGGGCGUGCCUGGUCCCCAAGCCCACUCCUGUCCCAACCCCGGCCCUGCGCUCAGAGCCCUGUCCGCUCGCUGCCGGACCCCGAAGCGCGCCGCCAGAUACUGCGGCGGACAGGCCCAGGGGCGUUCAGCGGGCCAGCGAGUGUGAGCGUGGUGCCACCAAGCCAGCAGCCCGAAGCGCGAGAGAAGCCGGGGCUUCGCCAGCCUCAGCCUUUCGAGUGGGGGAAGGAGGGGAGGCCGGUGAGCCGCUGCGAUGCAGCGGCGCUCGGCCCUCGGCGAGGUUCUCAGCCGAAGAAGGGGAAGCGCGGCCCGCCAUGGGUUAGUACUAAUAUUGACUUAAUUUUUACUACUUACAGGCCGUCACCUCCCCACGGCGGAGGGGCCUGGGGACCAAGACCUCCACCCAAACUUCAGGCGCAGGGUGAAGGCUGGGAGCGACCGAGUCACCCUUUCCCGCCGCGUUCCCAACAGUUCCGGUGGCGGAAAAUGGCCCAGACUUGGUUUUCGAGCCCAAUAAAAUAGAAGGGCCAGUCCUCCGAGGGCGUCGGCCGGCUCUGCGGGGCGCCGAGAGCCGCAGAGGCUCCUGGCCGCGCCCCGCCCAGCGCCAUGAAGCCUGGCAGGGAGGGGAUGGCGCCCGGGUCGCGCCCUGGCCUGGCGCGGGGGCCGCAAGGCCGGGAUCCCGCCCGCCAGGAAGCGCUGAGUGCAGGUUGCCGGUGAGCGCCUGCUGCUCGGGGCAGGUACCCACUGGCCACACGACGCUGCUGCAGCAUUCGAGGCCCGCAGGGACGCCGUCCCCCGACCCACACACCUGAGCCAGUCUGCGCGUGGCUGGGGGCGAAGAGUUUACCCGGGAAGGUUGGGGAGCUGCGGCCUCUGCCCCGCCGGCCCUGCGGGUCGGGGGAAGAGACCCUGGCACUCCCCGCAGAUCCUGGAGUGCCCCCCAUAUCCCCUUCCACCAUAACAGGUGUAACCCCACCCGCCUUCUCCAAAAGCCCAUGGCAGGGAUGAGGGGCAGAGGGACCCGAAGCUUUGACCGCACAAACCCGGCGGGAAAGCGAAGCCCACUAGGAACCGGAGGCCGCCGUCAGGAAGCCCCGCUCCUGGGACCGAGCUCCGGGCCCUCCCAGCCUCGAGGUCCUCGCCCUAUGGAGGCACGAGGAGGAGAGGGCCCGAGCUCCCCAAGCUGGCCGAUGCCGCCCUCCCUCCUGCUCCUCGGGGCGCUGACCCCCUCCCUCCCUAACCCCUGAGCCCCGGGGCGCCCCCGAGAGCCCGGCAGGGAGGCCAAGGCCCGGGAGACAGGCCGAGGGGAGGAAGAUAAACAAGCAGCGCUUGAUGGCCGCUGUCAUCAUGGCCGUCAUCAUGGCUUUCAUUUGGCUGCCUAAUGAGUCACAUCACAGGCAGAGAGAAAAAUUGUCAAUCGCCCGGGCCCUAAUGAAUUUUUUUGCAAAUUGUAAUCAAGCCAGGCCGUCUCAGCUGGCUGAUUAAUGAGACCCACGAGGCUCGGCCAGCACCUCAGCUUUUUAUUCCAUCCCGUCCUCCCUGCACUAAAUUAACAGCAACUUGUCUGAGCUUCAAAUUAACUCCCAAUGAUUAAUUCUGAUGGGGGGGCCUGAAGAAUAGCUUGUUCUAAUAGGCUCUGGCCUGAGAUGCUGUUGGAAAUUAAUACACUUCCCCUUUGGCUGCCGGCUUUAAUCCAAGGUUGGGUUUUGACAUCACUAUAUUUGUUGUUACAAUAAAUUCCACUUACAUCUGCAGAUCAAAUAAUUACACUUGGGAGCUCCUUGGACCUGCGCCCCCCAGCCGUGCACUGGGACGCCUCAGGGCUGCCUGCACCCCGCAGCCACCGACCCAGGCAGAGGUCGGAGGGGGGCCACAAGAACAGUCACUCCACCCAGUGACUGCCUUUGCUCCCUGGCAAGCCAGGCACCCCUGCCCCAUUGGAGAACCCAAGAAGGAGCCCAGGACUACCUUCCCAGCAGCCGGGACCCACCUGCACUGGAAGCUGCUCAAAUCCCAACCUGCGCUGGAAUUUUCGAGACUUAGUGCAUGCUUGUGCAUCCAGCCUUUGCUUCCUGUCUUCAGCCCCCUGGGUGGUUCUUUCACAGAUGCCUUGUCAGCUAAAUGGAGAGCAGGGAGUGGCCCCCCCAGGCUUUUUUGAGCCCGGGUUUGCCUCGGAGGACAUCCUGACUCUAUGGCUGUCUGUGCGUCUGGCCUUCAGCCUAGGUGCUUGUACAAGCCUGGGCACAUCGCUGGUACCUGCAUUCCAAGACACCCUUUCUCUCAGGGUCAGCACCCUCUCCCUCUUGUUUCUGUUUGUUUGAGCUUAAUGGGCUUAAUUAUUUCAGCUGCAUCUGGUGAAGCUCGCACAGGGCUUCCAAGGCUGCUCCCUCCAGCCCCAGACCUGUCUGGAACAGAGUCCCAUGUUAUGCCCCAUGGCGGGUGGUUCUAGGUGCACUGAAAGCCGGGAGUGACCUUCUAGCUUUCCGGCCUCAGGAGCCUUUGGAUCACACUCUGGUUCUCACCUCGGGGCCUUCCUAGUCCCAAGUGGCUGGAGCCCACGCAUUCAGCAGCGCGGGCAGCAGAGACCCUCUCGGGGCCCUCUUCUUUCCCCUGCUGGACUUCAGUGGCGGUGUGGCAGAGUGGCUCGCUUAUGCCCAGCCGUGGCUUCCCAGGGAAGGAGGCUCCAGUGCACACACCUAUUUCUGUCCCCAGAGACCCCAGGCAUCUGCCCAGGCAUGCACAGCCAGAGCAGGUGGCCUGCUCCGACCUUCUGGCCGCUGGGUCCUCCCAGGCAGCUUCAGCGCAGUGCUCAGGGCCCAGUUCCAGGGUAGCAGGGCUCUGGGGUCUUGGGGGAAGCUAAGGCCGGGGUUCUACAGGGACAGCCCAGACGAAGGGAGGUGGCAUUCAUCUUCAUUUUAGGCCCUUAGGGUGUAAACAGGAGAAAUAUGAUCUUGGUAACCAAACAUGAAUGCAAAUCACACCGGCAGAGUAAUAAAGCACCUGAAACCCCAACGCACAUAAGCAACACCAUAUGUAUGUAGACAACCUGCAUAAAUUAUAAAUUACAUCAUCAAAACCGAUU
This 3226-nucleotide long non-coding RNA is filed under the name Homo sapiens (human). RNAcentral's name for it is "HSALNT0049133". Lineage: Eukaryota; Metazoa; Chordata; Mammalia; Primates; Hominidae. The record is from RNAcentral.